This is a transfer RNA of Toxocara canis (dog roundworm), 73 nucleotides long. It matches the Rfam family "tRNA". From Rfam's summary of the family: Transfer RNA (tRNA) molecules are approximately 80 nucleotides in length. Their secondary structure includes four short double-helical elements and three loops (D, anti-codon, and T loops). Further hydrogen bonds mediate the characteristic L-shaped molecular structure. tRNAs have two regions of fundamental functional importance: the anti-codon, which is responsible for specific mRNA codon recognition, and the 3' end, to which the tRNAs corresponding amino acid is attached (by aminoacyl-tRNA synthetases). tRNAs cope with the degeneracy of the genetic code in two manners: having more than one tRNA (with a specific anti-codon) for a particular amino acid; and 'wobble' base-pairing, i.e. permitting non-standard base-pairing at the 3rd anti-codon position. The record is from Rfam. Lineage: Eukaryota; Metazoa; Nematoda; Chromadorea; Rhabditida; Toxocaridae.
GCGUUGUUAGCUCAGUCGGUAGAGCAUCAGUGUUUUAAUCUGAGUGUCGUGGUUUCGAGUCCCACAUAAGGCG